RNA transcript from Mus musculus (house mouse), 2790 nucleotides. It is a transcript of the gene named predicted gene 13363, with no coding region annotated. The record is from RefSeq and is marked provisional. The transcript has a single exon. NCBI's taxonomy places the organism in Eukaryota, Metazoa, Chordata, Mammalia, Rodentia, Muridae.
GUCCUCGGGCAGCUCACUGCAUGGUCGUCUGGUGCCCCCGCCGCCUGCAUCCCCGCCGCCGCCCCGCGACGCCCACCGCCGCCUGCCCUGCCGCCGCCUCCUGCGCCGCCUCGGGACCGGCUGUAUGAUUAGGCCACAAUCUUCAAUGAGUAGACAUAUUCCUCAGUUCUGUGGUGUUCUCGGUCACACAUUUAUGGAGUUUCUGAAGGGCAGUGGAGAUUAUUGCCAGGCACAGCACGACCUCUAUGCAGACAAGUGAACUGUAGAAAUUCAUUACUACUCCACCAAGAAACCCCCAUAAGAGUGGAUAACCUGGACACAGGCGUGUUGAAUUGAAAUCUGCAGAGCAUUUGACAAGAGCUCAGACCUGGAUGGGGUAAACCUCAGUGCACUUCCUUUGUAUUGCCUCAGUAUUACUGGAUUGAAGAAUCACUGCUUCUUGUUAGGAGGUUCAUUUCAGUGCCCGUUUCUCCCAAUUCUACUCAAGCACUGAGAAUUUCAAGUGGAGUAUAUUGAAUAUUGAAGUAGACUUCAGGUUGUUUUUUGGUUUUGUUUUUUUUUUUUCCUGUUUUGGUUUUAAAUCAUUUCUGUAUUCAAUUUUUUAAUUCUUUCAUAACCCUAUUGGGUGUUUUUUUUUUUUUUAAACUAAAUUAACAUGGCUCGAAUGAACCGCCCUGCUCCUGUGGAAGUCACAUACAAGAACAUGCGAUUUCUUAUUACACACAAUCCAACCAAUGCGACCUUAAACAAAUUUAUAGAGGAACUUAAGAAGUAUGGAGUUACCACAAUAGUAAGAGUAUGUGAAGCAACUUACGACACUACUCUUGUGGAGAAAGAAGGCAUUCAUGUUCUUGACUGGCCUUUUGAUGAUGGUGCACCACCAUCCAACCAGAUUGUCGAUGACUGGCUAAGUCUUGUGAAGAUUAAGUUUCGUGAAGAACCUGGUUGCUGUAUUGCUGUCCAUUGUGUCGCAGGCCUUGGCAGAGCUCCAGUGCUUGUUGCCCUAGCAUUAAUUGAAGGUGGAAUGAAAUAUGAAGAUGCAGUACAAUUCAUAAGACAAAAGCGGCAUGGAGCUUUUAACAGCAAGCAACUUUUGUAUCUGGAGAAGUACCGUCCGAAAAUGCAGCUCCGCUUCAAGGAUUCCAAUGGUCAUAGAAACAACUGUUGUAUUCAAUAAAACUGGGGUGCCUGAUGCCAUUGCCUUGGAAGUGGAACUUCAGAUGGGACCUGAUUUGUCAUGCAUAUUACCCAAUGUGUCGGCUUACUGAAUAAGUCUACUGCAGCUCCACAGGAAUACUGAAAAACCAGUCUUACCAGGCAACAAGUUUGACAGAAUUGCAACCUCUAUAUUUGGGCUAUGAUCAACAUGUUUGGACACUUAGCAAAAGAUUUUUGCUGGUCAGCAUUUAAAAUGUGCUUAUUAUUUGUACCAAUUGACCUUUCCUAAAAUAAGGUAUUGAGUUAUGUCAUUAAAUGUACUCCUGUGCCAGAAUAUUAUUAGUCUAUAAGGAAUUUAGAAGGAUUAGGUGCCAAAAUACCCAGCACAAUACUUGUAUAUUUUUAGCAUCAUACAGAACCAAAAUUGCAGGAACUGAGAACGCUAGACCAUCCAUGGUGUAUUCCUUCAGUCAUUUCAAACACUGCAGGGCUUCUCUCGUUAUCUGCCUGCUCACUCUGUUUACAUCUCCCACACUUAUGCCAGAAUACGUCAGGUUUGCUUAGCCAUCCUUUAUUUUUUUAUUUUUUUUUUUAACUAAGUCUUGCGCUGAUUAUUUAAUAUGUCUGUCUCAUUUUGUUUUGUUUUGGGAAACCUCUGUUUGAAAAUCAACUUUGUUACAGAAGCACAUAUCUUCAACAAUGUCUCCAGACAAAAAGCCUUAUAGUUAAUUUAAUGUUUGCACUCAGAAGUGCAACCUAGCAGGGAGGGCCUGAAAAAGAAACGAGAGGAGGCUAUUAAAUAUUUUUAGUAAUAUGUUGCCUUUGUCAUGUGCAGAACAUGUAGAGUAUGCUCUUUAAUUUAGUAAAUAUUUUUAAGACAUAGAGAUACAUUGUUGUAGCUAACCAAUUCUUAAUCAAAAUUUCUGAAAUUUUUGUGUUUUCCAUACCUAUCAGAAGUUUUCCAGCUUGUUUGAAUUAUGGCUUUCCUCUUCCCAAUCUCUUGCAAAAAAGACAAAGUGGGAUGGAUCUGCUAGUGAACUGAGCAGAAAUGUUUUAUACGCCUUUUGAGCUAUGUAACUUAAUAAUUGGAUACUUGAUCAUUUGUUUUAUUAUGUAAUCGAUAAAAUGGUGAUGUGUAUUAAAGUUAGUUCAACCAUAUAUUUAUACUGUCUGGGAAUGUGUGGUUAUAGUUCUGUGGGAGAAAUAGUUUGUCAGUGUUCACCAGCUUGUAAAAACUUAGUACGAGAGCUUCAACAUCUAAAUAAAUGAUGAAACGCAUUCGUCACUGAGGACACUUUUGCCUAAAAUUAACUUAAUUUGUAGAAAACAAUGGAUUCAGUUAAUAUCAUUUCAAUUUAUGGAAAAAAUUGUUAGGGUUGCCAAGUGCUUUUUAUUAAAAGUUUCUCUUUAAAGGUCUAGAUAAUUGUGAAUCAGUUGAAUGUUGGGCACCGAGGGGAAACAGUUUGUAAUAGAUGAUCUAGAUUUUUCAGUUCAGUUCCAUCAGUCACUUGUAGCUCUGCAAUUUCCAGACCAGUUUUCUCAUUUUUAAGUUCAUUACAUGCCUGUAUAUAUUUUGAAAUUAAUUUGAACCUGAGUAUUUGGCACAUGAUGGCUUAAUAAAUUUUAACUUUC